RNAcentral lists this ribosomal RNA (460 nucleotides) under uncultured bacterium. Its description in RNAcentral is "partial 16S ribosomal RNA". It matches the Rfam family "Bacterial small subunit ribosomal RNA", at positions 338 to 795 of the family's 1533-position model. The record is from RNAcentral.
CCUACGGGCGGCAGCAGUGAGGAAUCUUGGUCAAUGGGCGCGAGCCUGAACCAGCCAAGUAGCGUGAAGGAUGACUGCCCUACGGGUUGUAAACUUCUUUUAUAAAGGAAUAAAGUGAGGCACGUGUGCCUUUUUGUAUGUACUUUAUGAAUAAGGAUCGGCUAACUCCGUGCCAGCAGCCGCGGUAAUACGGUGGAUCCGAGCGUUAUCCGGAUUUAUUGGGUUUAACGGGAGCGUAGAUGGGUGGUUAAGUCAGUUGUGAAAGUUUGCGGCUCAACCGGAAAAUUGCAAUUGAUACUGGCAGACUUGAGUACAGUUGAGGUAGGCGGAAUUCGGGGUGUAGCGGUGAAAUGCGUAGAUAUAACGAAGAACACCGAUGGCGAAGGCAGCUUACUAAACUGUCACUGACAUUGAGGCUCGAAAGUGUGGGUAGCAAACAGGAUUAGAUACCCGAGUAGUC